Molecule: ribosomal RNA, 253 nt
Filed under: uncultured bacterium
Lineage: Bacteria
Description: partial 16S ribosomal RNA
Rfam family: Bacterial small subunit ribosomal RNA
Source: RNAcentral
GACAGAGGGUGCAAACGUUGUUCGGAAUUACUGGGCGUAAAGCGCGUGUAGGCGGCCCUGUAAGUCGGGUGUGAAAUCCCACGGCUCAACCGUGGAAGUGCAUUCGAAACUACAGGGCUAGAGUUCUGGAGAGGAAGGUGGAAUGCUUGGUGUAGAGGUGAAAUUCGUAGAUAUCAAGCGGAACACCGGUGGCGAAGGCGGCCUUCUGGACAGUAACUGACGCUGAGGAGCGAAAGCGUGGGGAGCGAACAGG